CUUCAUUCUCCUUAUCGAUGAUAUUUAUUUUUAGGGUUGUUUCUCUUUCUCAAUUCUAAAGAUUUUGGGAUUUCAAAUCCAUAUUUAUAUUUAUAUAUAUAUUUAUCUUCAUUGUAGAGCAAGCAAUCGACAUCAAGGUAUUUUGGGUUUCCAAGGUGGUGUUAGAUUUAUGAUUUCGGCAGGAUGGAUUAGAUGUGACUUUUCGAUUUGCUACUUCUAUUUGCUAUCCUGAUUCGUUGAUGAAUUUUUAAUGCUUUACAAGCCAUGCCAUCAGAGCUUAAUUAUGCAUUAGCAGGUAAUGCGAAGGAUCCUCUAGGCUAAGAUGGAGUAAUGAAUCCAGCUACUGGAUCAGAAAGCCUUCGCAUAACAAAAAGUUGUUGUGAUGAGAGGCACACACUGGCGGAAAUGGAAAAAAGGCUUUCUUAUUAUUUUGUUCUUUGUGAUAGAAUUCAGCCUCUGUACUGAUUGCAUUGUUGAGACUUUACCCAUUCUUUGUGCCAUAUGUUGAGAUUUUGGUAGUCGCCGUGAAGAUAUGAAGCUUACAUUACACUUAUGGCCGCUCCACUACACCUAUCGUAUCUGGAUAUUUCGGAAAAUUUCAUUGACGACUUCCAAGUAUACAAUUCAACUUCCCAAAAUUUUUGUAUGUCUGUCUCUCAAAUCUAUAUUGUGGGUAUGUACAGAAUGAUCUUUAUUGGGGAUUUUAAUAAAG
Papaver somniferum (opium poppy) is the source of this 712-nucleotide long non-coding RNA. RefSeq lists it as uncharacterized. The transcript is spliced from 4 exons. The record is from RefSeq and is a predicted model, not a curated record. NCBI's taxonomy places the organism in Eukaryota, Viridiplantae, Streptophyta, Magnoliopsida, Ranunculales, Papaveraceae.